GAUCCUGCUCAGGAUGAACGCUGGCGGCGUGCCUAACACAUGCAAGUCGAGCGAAGCAUUUUAAAGGAAGUUUUCGGAUGGAAUUUGAAAUGACUGAGCGGCGGACGGGUGAGUAACGCGUGGGUAACCUGCCUCAUACAGGGGGAUAACAGUUAGAAAUGACUGCUAAUACCGCAUAAGCACACAGUACCGCAUGGUACAGAGUGAAAAACUCCGGUGGUAUGAGAUGGACCCGCGU
This 238-nucleotide ribosomal RNA is filed under the name uncultured bacterium. RNAcentral's name for it is "partial 16S ribosomal RNA". It matches the Rfam family "Bacterial small subunit ribosomal RNA", at positions 15 to 236 of the family's 1533-position model. The record is from RNAcentral.